Molecule: ribosomal RNA, 406 nt
Filed under: uncultured bacterium
Lineage: Bacteria
Description: partial 16S ribosomal RNA
Rfam family: Bacterial small subunit ribosomal RNA
Source: RNAcentral
AUUGAACGCUGGCGGCAGGCCUAACACAUGCAAGUCGGGCGAGCCGCGGGCGGGAGAGUAAUGUAUGGGGAUCUGCGUGAUGGCGGGGGAUAACUACUGGAAACGGUAGCUAAUACCGCAUUCCCUGAUAUGAACACAUAGGGGAUUAGCGUGUAGGUGAGGUAACGGCUCACCUAGGCGACGCUCCCUAGCUGGUCUGAGAGGAUGAACAGCCACACUGGGACUGAGACACGGCCCAGACUCCUACGGGAGGCAGCAGUGGGGAAUAUUGCACAAUGGGCGCAAGCCUGAUGCAGCCAGGCCGCGUGUAUGAAGAAGGCCUUCGGGUUGUAAAGUACUUUCAGUCGGGAGGCGUUACCGACAGAAGAAGCACCGGCUAACUCCGUGCCAGCAGCCGCGGUAAUUC